GCCCCAAUAGCUCAGUGGCAGAGCAUCUCCAUGGUAAGGAGAAGGUCUACGGUUCGAAUCCGUAUUGGGGCU
This 72-nucleotide transfer RNA is filed under the name Haloechinothrix alba. Its description in RNAcentral is "Pseudonocardineae bacterium YIM 93221 tRNA". It matches the Rfam family "tRNA". Rfam says of the family: Transfer RNA (tRNA) molecules are approximately 80 nucleotides in length. Their secondary structure includes four short double-helical elements and three loops (D, anti-codon, and T loops). Lineage: Bacteria; Bacillati; Actinomycetota; Actinomycetes; Pseudonocardiales; Pseudonocardiaceae. RNAcentral also lists the same sequence under 2 other names. The record is from Rfam by way of RNAcentral.